This 393-nucleotide ribosomal RNA is filed under the name uncultured bacterium. Its description in RNAcentral is "bacterial SSU rRNA". It matches the Rfam family "Bacterial small subunit ribosomal RNA", at positions 28 to 424 of the family's 1533-position model. The record is from RNAcentral.
GACGAACGCUGGCGGCGUGCUUAACACAUGCAAGUCGAGCGGUAAGGCCCUUUCGGGGGUACACGAGCGGCGAACGGGUGAGUAACACGUGGGUGACCUGCCCUCAGCUCUGGGAUAAGCCUGGGAAACCGGGUCUAAUACUGGAUAUGACUCCAUGACGCAUGUUGUGGGGUGGAAAGCCUUGUGCGGCUGAGGAUGGGCCCGCGGCCUAUCAGCUUGUUGGUGGGGUGANGGCCUACCAAGGCGACGACGGGUAGCCGGCCUGAGAGGGCGACCGGCCACACUGGGACUGAGACACGGCCCAGACUCCUACGGGAGGCGGCAGGUGGGGAAUCUUGCGCAAUGGGCGAAAGCCUGACGCAGCGACGCCGCGUGAGGGAUGACGGCCUGGUU